GUUCCGUGUGUCCCGCGUUGCCGCCGUGCCGCCCCUUCCUUCUGCUGCUGCUGCCUGCGCUGCUGCCGCUGCGCCGAGCCCGCGCGCGACCACCCGCCCGCGUGCUGUGCGCCAUCGCCAGCCAUGGCCGCGCGGCCUCGAGCCGAGCCGAUGUGUGCCUCUCCGCCCCGCUCGCCGCCUCGCAUCGCCACCGGCCCGCCUCCACCUCACCGACGCACGCAUGAGGUGCGCCUCGCGCCCCUGGACCUCCCCACGCCGGCCUCGCCGCCGGCGAGAACACUGCCGCUACCGCUGCCGCCAUGGCCGCCGCCCGCACCUCCACGCCGAGCCGUCGACCGAGCUCGUCCCGCCCUCCACCAACCCCUAAAUCCGCUUGCUCUCGUCCCAACGAAGCCCCCAGGCCCGGCCAUCACCUCCAUGCCUCGCCGGAACGUCGCCGGAGCGGCACAGCACCGCCACCGCCCGCCACCCGCCGUGGAGCCGCCGCCACAGACCGCCUCCUCGCGCUCCAAGGCCACCUACAGGUACGAUAGAUGAACCAUAUGAAGGACGUGCUACUGGAGCCGAACCCGAAGACGAUGUUGGUGGACAUAUCCCGAAGACGGAUGGAUGGAACCCGAUGUGCAUGACCAAAGAAAGAUGCUCGCCAAGCGAGUAUCAUCUAACUAACACUGACUUAGUGUUAAUCUCAGGCAAGCCCCGGUGCACAUCCUAUUAUUUGAAAUUAUGACACCUAUAUAUGUAUUUAUUACUUGUGCAUUACGUUUCAGGAGUUGAUUGAAACCCUAGUUGCAUGAUCCCUAGGUUUCCCUGAAUUAUACUAGCAUGUAUAGGACGAUAGAAAUGCUAUGCUUAAUACUUCUCGAUAGAAGUCGAGUGACUUUUUUCACUCGCGAGAUAUAUGAUACUUAGAAGUCGAGUAAUUUCCGGUUACUCGCGAGAUAUAGGUUAUAUACUUAUAUACAGUACCUGAGUUGUUGAAAUUGACAUGGAAAUAUGAGACUGGGCGGGGAAUGAUGAUGAUGUAUAGGUAUGGCA
Panicum virgatum (switchgrass) is the source of this 1038-nucleotide long non-coding RNA. RefSeq lists it as uncharacterized. The transcript is spliced from 2 exons. The record is from RefSeq and is a predicted model, not a curated record. NCBI's taxonomy places the organism in Eukaryota, Viridiplantae, Streptophyta, Magnoliopsida, Poales, Poaceae.